UAGUUUGCUGAUAGUGAAAUUGAUUAAUUGUUUGGUGAAACAGGCAAGAUGUUUAUAGUGAUGGCUUGUAGAGAUGCCAUCACUUCCAAUUCAAUCCCUGCUUUUCGAAGAGGACUGAGACUAGCUUGAAAAAGACUCAAUGCAAUGCUGCUAUUAAGAGGUACUAAAGAGCAUGGUGAGCAGCUUAUGUUGUAAUAUUGAAGGACAUAAAGAUAACUAGCUUGUAAAAUUUAUUUAUCUUGUAAACUAGCUUGCUUAAUCUUCUUGUAAACUUGAAGCUACAUUCCUUUUGGAACAUUAUUGAGAAAAAUUAAAAUGUAACAUUCCUUUUGG
Long non-coding RNA from Argentina anserina (silverweed cinquefoil), 333 nucleotides. RefSeq lists it as uncharacterized. The transcript is spliced from 3 exons. The record is from RefSeq and is a predicted model, not a curated record. NCBI's taxonomy places the organism in Eukaryota, Viridiplantae, Streptophyta, Magnoliopsida, Rosales, Rosaceae.